Molecule: long non-coding RNA, 3478 nt
Filed under: Octopus sinensis (East Asian common octopus)
Lineage: Eukaryota; Metazoa; Mollusca; Cephalopoda; Octopoda; Octopodidae
Description: uncharacterized LOC118767546
Source: RNAcentral
AUAGUAUACCAUAAUUACACAGCAUUAAUCAACACAUCUUUCUUUCCAGGGCCCCAUGAAAGUAAAAAUAUUUACCUUGUCAAAAAAUGAGCAGAAUUUUUAGUACCUUGUGGUGUUUGUUUCAACCCUCUGCCAAGAGUUCAAAUCCCACUAUAGUCAACUUUUCCUUUCAUCCUUUUGGAGUUGAUAAGUUAAAUAGCUGACUAAGGUGGUAGGUUGUUGGCACUGUUAGAAGGGUCAGGAAAGAUAUCUUGUGGCGUCUGUCCAGUUGGUGACUCCUUGCAAUGACAUUGGUGUCCAGCUGUGUCAAUCUGAGUUGGUGACCUUCCCUUUGGUUUAACACUAGUGGCAUGGAAAGGAAUGACUCGUGUGUAUGUGCAACUGUUAGUCUUCUUCAUAAGCAAAAUUUUCUUAGAUCUGUGCAUACAUGUACUGAGGCAGGGUCUGUCUUGGUCGAUUGAGGGCUCCUUAUAUAAAAAAACCAGUUGGGAUUUUUUUAACACAAAAUGUGAUUUUCCUUCAAAAUGAACUUAUUAAAUAAAGUAAGGAAUAACAGGGAUUUGCAGAGUACUUGUGAUAUAUACAACGAAGCAGUGGUCCCCAAUUUUAAUUUUUUAUUUUUUCUGGACCACUGGCUCGUUUCAAGCUGAACAAUUUUCUCACAAACCAAUCAUGGUUUCAAUCUGGACAAUUUUCUCACAGACCGGUCAUGGUCUCAAGCUGGACAAAUUCUUUCACAGACCAGUCGUGUAUAAAUAAAAUGAGAUAUCCAUUGGCACCCCACCCUCUUUGUCGAAAUAAAGUGUUAGACACUUAUGGUAUGCAAAUUAGUUACUCCACUUCUCUGAAGUUAUUGUAUUUGUUGAGUUUAUAAAGAGACUGAUUGCGUGUUUCUCUGUGAUUAGUCAAAUGAUGUUAACACUGAUGAGACCCCAAUAAUGCUCGAAAAUUAAAAAGCUAUUCAUAAUUUUUUCCAAAGUAUGGAGAAAAGGCUAAAUGUGCCCAGUUUACGUAUCUAUGACAUGGGUUACAUAAUAUAUAGCUUGCUUAUUACAUAUAUGAUGCAAAUAUAAUUAUCGCACUGUUCAUUAUGUGCUUUAUAACUAGUCAAUAAAAUUUAGAUAUUUAUUCUUUCUGUGCAGCCCAGUAUAGGUCUGUGACCUGGUGGCCAGGGACUCCUGCUAUUAAGCAUCAAGUAUCAGUAUUGAAGUUAAAAAUCUGUUUCAAGCCUACCGGACCAUGAGGUUGAAGCUUAACCCUUGACCUGGUUUCUGUGAUGUUUAAUUGAAUGGAAAUACAAGGCUCUUCUCUGACUAAGAAGUCAGUCUGUCAUAGAGUUGAAAUGCCCCUCUUCUCACUCGUUGAUAGUGCCCCCUUUUGGCGGGGGGGGGGGGGGUGAAAUGAAGUGCCUUGGUUCUUGAAAUUUGAUCCGCCAAAUAUUUUUUAGUUAAUUUCUUAAUUAGCCUGAUCAAAGCAUGGCUAUUAAUUAUUCAAGUGCAAAGAUUUAGAACAAUUAAGAAUUUGAGGUCUUGAAGUGCAGAUGUAGGUAGUUUCCUGGUUGUGGUAGAUGGAUCAGAUGCUGUAGUGUCAGACGGAUUACAACAUUGUGUUGAUUCUACCAGGAACAAUGGUUAUAGAUGAUUUCUUGGUGUUAUGCAGAACCAUCAUGUUUUGUAUACGGCACUUGACGCCCUUUUGUUACUAACCCGGCCAAAACCGGCUCUGGCUCUGUGGUAAAAUGUCCUGCUUUCAUAAGUUUUGAAUUAAAAUCUUCCACCAAACCUUAGUCACAAUUUACGUUCCUAACACUAGUUUAAUGAUAACUAAAUUAUUUUACUAAAUUCUUUGUUAUAUUUAAAAUAAUUGAAGGAAACACAAAGCAUCUCAAAAUAAAUACAGUAACGAAAGGGUUACCAUUCCUUGCAUUUUGCUAUGAUAUAGUUAUGCCAUGCAACAACGAACAUAUUGCACAGCAGAGAAAUUGUGCCAAAAGAAGAAAGGCAGAAAAUAAAUUGCAUUUAACUAGAUACUUGUGGUUAUGUGAUGCUGUGGCAUUCAUACUUAAAAAUAUUAGGUCUGUUUAUCAUAUUUAAAAAAAAAUUAAAUCAAAAUUUAUACAACUUUGACUUUUCACCUGUGGAAAAUCCUUUACCUUUUUUUUAGCAAACAAGAAAAGCCACAUGUGACAAGGUGAAGAACUUCACUUUCAUGGAGCCCUAAAAAAAAAGAAAGAAAUAAUCAAUUACAUAUUAUCCAUGGUUACCCACUAUAUUAUCCAUCUGUCUGUCUGUCUGUGUACAUGUAGGUAUUGCAUAUAAAAAAUUAAAAUAUUUAUGUGUGUGUGUGUAAAUAUACCUGAUAUUAAAAUAGAAAUUAUUCUUGUAUAUAUAUGUAUAUGUAUAUAUAUACACUUUAUGUGUGAGUUAACCAGAUUACCGUUGGUUUCAUGUAGGAAAAUUUUAUUGUUUUCAUCCAUGAUGAAAAUGAACACCAAUGCCCCAUGGCAAUGAGUUUGAAAAUUAUUAAGAGAUAGCUGUCUUGACAUGAAACCAGUUAACUCACAAAUGAAGAAUAUCCACCAAUGUAGUUUCGAGCAUUCAUUCCCACUGUUCAAUAUUAAUGUGUGUGUGUAUGUAUAUAUAUAUAUAUAUAUAUACUUGCUUUUUUCAUAGCGUUUUUCAGAUGGCCAGAUAACCGAAGAGAUGGUGUUGUGGAUUUCCACCUUGGCAUCUGAAACUCAGAGUUUUAUCUUGGCUAUUGAAUAAUUGUCACAUAUUAUUUUUCAGAUAUAUAUAUAUAAGCACAAAACUGUCUCAAACCAUUCUCUAGUUUUAUGUUCCGAUCUCCCUGUUUUAAGGUGACCUAAAUUAAAACUUUCCAUCUGAAUUUCAAUUUCUAAAUUUGUGUUCCAAACACCAGCUUCUUCGUAAUUUCCAAAAUUAAUUUAGAAACAAAGGCAGUGUAAUUUCAACAGAAAUUUAAUAACAAAAAUGGGUUAUUAAACAGCUGGGUGGGGCGGUGGGGCGGAACAACAACAACACAAAACAAAAUAAAUUAUUUCUCAGGAAGAAAGUAACUAAGGUGUUAACAAAGGUGAACUACAAUCAGUCAAACAUUAAAAUAAAUAAGUCGAUAAAACAGAUGUGUGAGUGAAAGCAGGUGCCUUUUUGCAGCUUGUAUUUGUAAGAAGUUUUCAAAUUCAUUUAUGUUUGCUAUCUGAGGGAUGACGGCUGGUCCCAAUUUUGUUGAAUAUAUAAUAUAUAAUGAUGAAUAUAGAUAUAUACAUUAUAUAUAUAUAUGCACACACACGCACAUUAUAUAUAUAUUUAAUAUCAUGUGGGUGAUAAGCUUAUAGUGUGCUUUACAAAGCUCUUCCACGGGUAUCAGCUAUCCUAUGUUACCUUACAGCAGGGAUUCUCCUUUUACUGGAUACACAUGUGGAAAUCCAUUAAUAUCCACAGAAUUCAUUAAAAAAAAA